Molecule: long non-coding RNA, 319 nt
Filed under: Brassica napus (rape)
Lineage: Eukaryota; Viridiplantae; Streptophyta; Magnoliopsida; Brassicales; Brassicaceae
Description: long non-coding RNA (BNAP_LNC001362)
Source: RNAcentral
GGUUUGAAAAGAGGAAGCGUGUUGAUAGUGGUGCCAAAUCCGUAUCAAACAACAAGUUCCCCCUCAGUUCGUUGAUCGAGCAUUUUGCGAGAUCGAUGAACUUGCAAGAGAUUAGUUCAGCAUGAAUUGAUCGGCCAAUUUUAUGCGUGACUCGCCGCAAUGUUGGAGUAGAUGAUCUUUUCUUGCGAGGUAUUCUAUCUUAUUCAUGUAUAGACAAGUCAUGAAUGGGAUGUCAAAGAGAUGUCGCGCGCAGAUUGUUGCGGACGAGCUGUCAUAGACGUGCUUCUUUUUCUAUCAAACUUCUUACUCUAUAAAUGGC